ACUUACAAAUUUAAUGUAGAGCACAUUUCACGAAGGACUUUGAGCUAACUAUAAUACUGUAGUAGUAGUUAAAUUAUACGUUGCAUAGUGUAAAGAUAAACUGUAGUUAGGGGUGACAGGCCUACCAAAAAAUCCGAUAACUUGAUAUGUAGGAAAAAUAUUUAGUAUUUAUACAACUCUACAACGGUUAGGUUUUAGAGACAGAAAAGAAACCUUAUUAAAGGUGCAAAUUUCCUAACAGAAAUUGUUUUAUUUUUUUAAAAAUAACCCAGGUGGAACUUUCUAUUAUACUAUUUCUAGUGAUACAAACUAUCACGUUGUUAAUGUAAGUAUUAGUAAUAAGUAAAUUGCAGUAAGGAACUCGGCAAACCAAUUCGCUCAACUGUUUAUCAAAAACAUAACCAGGAGAAUUUCUUCUUGGCUUUUUCUGCUCAAUGGUAUUCUAAAUAGCCGCAGUACCCUGACUGUGCAAAGGUAGCAUAAUCAUUUGGCUUAUAAUUGAAGUCUGGCAUGAAGGAAUAAAUGGGUGACCACUGUCUCAUGGCAAUUAUGUUAAUUUUCUUAAUAAGUGAAAAUUCUUAUAAAUAAACAAUAGACGAGAAGACCCUAGAAAUUUUUUGUACUUAGGUAUUCCCUAAUUCAUUUUGUUGGGGCGACAGAGUAACAUUUAACUUACUUUCCUAUAAGAAUUUUGUAUCAAGUUAAAAUAAAUUACUCUAGGGAUAACAGCAUAAUUUUUAUAAGUUUGUGACCUCGAUGUUGGACUAGGGACUUUAAUGUGCAGAAGACAUUAAAUUUGCUCUGUUCGAGCAGAACUCCCUACGUGAUCUGAGUUCAGACCGG
This 843-nucleotide ribosomal RNA is filed under the name Ponentina cf. revelata MTN-2017. RNAcentral's name for it is "partial 16S ribosomal RNA". The stretch from base 336 to 582 matches the Rfam family "Archaeal large subunit ribosomal RNA", at positions 1785 to 2143 of the family's 2987-position model. The record is from RNAcentral. Lineage: Eukaryota; Metazoa; Mollusca; Gastropoda; Stylommatophora; Geomitridae.